GUCAGACUAGGUGGUCCUGCCCAGUUUUCAAAACACCAGUUAUCAGACAUGAUGGGUGGAAAAACUAGUGGAUCGGACUCGUUUCAUUAGAAUAAUUAAAGCUGUAACGGAUAGUGUCUAAAAUUGUAUCCUAGGUCCAGUAGCAUGGGCUGGUCAAUUAAGAUAAAUAUUGUAAGCAAAUUCAGCUUGAUGGAGAGCAAACUCCAAUGCUAAAUGGUACUAAUUAUAACAAUUCAAGUUCUAAGAAUGGGUAUGCUAACACCACAACAAUUAAUGAUAAUUAAUAUGCGAGACAGUUCUGACCCAUAGACUCCAUUGAGAACUUAGGCCUCGAGAUUUCUAGUCAAUCUGGUCCACAG
RNAcentral lists this unclassified non-coding RNA (359 nucleotides) under Hevea brasiliensis (rubber tree). Lineage: Eukaryota; Viridiplantae; Streptophyta; Magnoliopsida; Malpighiales; Euphorbiaceae. The record is from RNAcentral.